This 240-nucleotide unclassified non-coding RNA is filed under the name soil metagenome. Its description in RNAcentral is "partial contains 5.8S ribosomal RNA, internal transcribed spacer 2, and large subunit ribosomal RNA". The record is from RNAcentral.
AACGCACGAGACCUGCGGACCUGCGGAGGGAUCAUUGCUGGAACGCGCCCCAGGCGCACCCAGAAACCCUUUGUGAACUUAUACCUUACUGUUGCCUCGGCGCAUGCCGGCCCCCAGGGGCCCCUCGGAGACGAGGAGCAGGCACGCCGGCGGCCAACCUAACUCUUGUUUUUACACUGAAACUCUGAGAAAAAAAACAAAAUGAAUCAAAACUUUCAGCAAUGGAUCUCUAGAUCGGAA